UACGGAGGAUGCGAGCGUUAUCCGGAUUUAUUGGGUUUAAAGGGUGCGUAGGCGGACUGUCAAGUCAGCGGUAAAAUUGAGAGGCUCAACCUCUUCCCGCCGUUGAAACUGGUGGUCUUGAGUGGAUGAGAAGUACGCGGAAUGCGUGGUGUAGCGGUGAAAUGCAUAGAUAUCACGCAGAACCCCGAUUGCGAAGGCAGCAUGCCGGCUUCCUACUGACGCUGAAGCAUGAAAGCGUGGGUAUCGAACAGG
This 252-nucleotide ribosomal RNA is filed under the name uncultured bacterium. RNAcentral describes it as "partial 16S ribosomal RNA". It matches the Rfam family "Bacterial small subunit ribosomal RNA", at positions 524 to 776 of the family's 1533-position model. The record is from RNAcentral.